RNAcentral lists this ribosomal RNA (253 nucleotides) under uncultured bacterium. RNAcentral describes it as "partial 16S ribosomal RNA". It matches the Rfam family "Bacterial small subunit ribosomal RNA", at positions 524 to 776 of the family's 1533-position model. The record is from RNAcentral.
UACGUAGGGUGCGAGCGUUAAUCGGAAUUACUGGGCGUAAAGUGUGCGCAGGCGGCCGAGCAAGUCGAGUGUGAAAGCCCCGGGCUUAACUUGGGAAUUGCGCUCGAAACUACUUGGCUGGAGUGUGGCAGAGGGGGGUGGAAUUCCACGUGUAGCGGUGAAAUGCGUAGAUAUCCGGAGGAACACCAGAGGCGAAGGCGACCUCCUGGGUCGUACCUGACGCUGAGAUGCGAAAGCUAGGGGAGCAAACGGG